This 2222-nucleotide long non-coding RNA is filed under the name Sus scrofa (pig). Its description in RNAcentral is "lncRNA (ENSSSCG00015068814.1, ENSSSCG00030049871.1, ENSSSCG00050050368.1)". The record is from RNAcentral. Lineage: Eukaryota; Metazoa; Chordata; Mammalia; Artiodactyla; Suidae.
GUUCGCUGGCGCCCGGAUGUCUGAGCUCUGGCUCCGCUCUGGCUCCGGCUCCCUCCGCAGCCUGCGGGCGGGGCUCCCAGCCCAUCCGGAGCCUCGCGGCGCCCCUGCCGCUCUGCCAGCAGCGCGGCCUCCCGGUUCCCAGCCUCCCGGCCUGGGGGGCCCCCCCGCCCAGCCGAGUUGCUGACCCGACUGCUUUCCCGCUGCCCCCAGCUGCGCUCGGGCCGCUGCAGCCUCGGCGCGCCCCCACCCCGCUUCCUGCCUCGGCAGCUUUGCCCGGACCGGGCGGCCGCCCUGGAUCGCACCCCGUUCCUUCCUUCCUUCAUUCUUUCAGGCAACUCGCAUUCCUCGAGCGCCUGCGACGUGCCCCGUACAAGGCCUCUCCGACCUUCGGAGUGUGGCCCACCGGGGUCCUCCCAGAAGCCUCUGCCCUCCUCACCCCGCCCUGGACUCUCCUCUCUGAUGUCCUGUUUCACUCAGAGGGUAGCAUUUAAUUGUUCUCUGAUUAUUUCUCCUGUUAAGGGUCAGUCGGUGGCAAGGUCAAGGGAGGGCUUUGUGACCGAAAUCAGGGGUCAGUCUGAAAGUAGGGUGAGGGAUCAGAAUGUGGCCAGAGUUGGGGUUCAGCCAAACCGUGGCAGGAUUUGGAGAUAGUGUGGGUAGGAGUUGGCAGCGCUCUGUCUAUGGCCAGGCUUUAUAGACAGGGAGGGUGUGAGGGUUAGUGUGAAUAGCAUCAGUAGCCAAGAUUAGUGAGUCAGUCUUUCGGUAGGGUCAGUGGACAAUCUGGAUCAGGGUAAUAGGUCACCCAGAGACCAGGAUUUGGGGGUUGACUUUGACAAGCCAGUUAAGGGGAGGAGGGCGCUGUAGCUUUCUGAACUCACAUUAGUGGUUCCUCUGUGGGCAGGGGGUGGGGGUGGUGGUGACCAUAGCUUCCCCCUGCAUCGUCCAGGUGGAGCUGGCCUUCCGUCUAGGACACUCAUUGUCCUCAACAACACCCUGCUUUGAUCAUGUGCCAGAUGUAGGGGAGGGGUAGGUAAGGGGGGCAAAACUCUCAUUGGAUCAGACCAUGGUCAGAAUGGCAGUAACACUGGCCAUGGCAGGGAGGCCCUAGGUGUCCCAGGAACCCCAUCUUGGAGUCACCCAUGUUUAACAGGGCCCCUGGCAGGUCUUACAGUGGGACCAGAUGUAUGAAGGCAUUGACUUAAAAAAUAUGCACAACCUUAAAGCUCUUUUAAAUCUUUGUACAAACCAACGCCGCAUAGAAUGGUCUUCAAACAGCCAUCACAGCCCUGCUGUGCUUUCUGUGAGUUCGGGAAUCAGACAGAUGCUGGUUGAAAAUGCGGGCUUUGUCGUCUAGCAGCUUUCCCAUCACAGGUAAGUCAUUUAUGCUCCCAGAGCCUCCGUGGUUACUGUGAUGAUUCAAGUAGAUGACAUAUGUAAAGCACCUGGCACUUGGGAGGCCCUGGGUGACCCCCCACCCCAGGGCCUGCUGGGCAUGGUUGUCAGAUUCCUCACAGAAUUCUUCCAUCAUCUCUCCUGGUGGUGGUGUGGUUGGCCCAGUCCAGUCACAGCAUCUCAGCACUGCCUGUCCAGCCUCUGUGCUCUUCAGAGCCCUUCCACACACAUGCAGGAGUAUCUGAUCAGCAGGACAGCUCGGUGCAGGGACUGAAAAACUGGGGCUGCACCCCGGGGUCCCCACUCUUAGGCUCUGCCACUUCGAACAAGCUCUUUCACCUCUCUGAGCCUCAGAGAGCCACCACAGAGCCCUGCUGAGGGUUUAGUGAGGAACUAAAGGCAAGCAUCUAGGGGCCUGCUAGCACGUGGAGGCACUCAGUAAGUCAGAGGCAGAGUUAGGAAUAGUCCUAUUUCACAGAAGAAGAAACUGAGUCCCUCAGGGGGUAAGUGAUUCAUCCAGUGUCAUGUGGAAAGAUCCCUUCACAGACCUGGGAUUAAAAACCACAUCUUCAGAGUUCCCCUUUGUGGCUCAGCAGGUUAAGAACCCAACAAUUGUCUGUGAGGAUGUGGGUUCAAUCCGGGGCCUUGCUCGGUGAGUUAAGGGUCUGGCAUUGCCACAAGCUGUGGUGUAGGUGGCAGAUGAGGCUCAGAGCUGGCAUUGCUGUGCCUGUGGUGUAUGCCAGUAGCUGCAGCUCAGAUUUGACCCCUAGCCGGGGAACUUCAAUGUGCCGCAGGUACAGCCAUUAAAACAAAACAAAACAAAACAAAAAAAA